RNAcentral lists this ribosomal RNA (118 nucleotides) under Carlito syrichta (Philippine tarsier). Lineage: Eukaryota; Metazoa; Chordata; Mammalia; Primates; Tarsiidae. The record is from RNAcentral.
AUCUACAGCAAUACCACCCUGAAUGCGCCCAUCUCAUCUGAUCUCAGAAGCUAAGCAAGGUCAGGCCUGGCUAGUACUUGAGUGGAAGACUGCCUGGGAAUACCAGGUGCUGUAGGCU